CCUACGGGAGGCAGCAGUGGGGAAUUUUGGACAAUGGGCGCAAGCCUGAUCCAGCAAUGCCGCGUGAGUGAAGAAGGCCUUCGGGUUGUAAAGCUCUUUUGUCAGGGAAGAAACGGUGGGGGCUAAUAUCUCCCACUAAUGACGGUACCUGAAGAAUAAGCACCGGCUAACUACGUGCCAGCAGCCGCGGUAAUACGUAGGGUGCAAGCGUUAAUCGGAAUUACUGGGCGUAAAGCGUGCGCAGGCGGUUUUGUAAGUUUGUCGUGAAAUCCCCGGGCUCAACCUGGGAAUGGCGAUGAAGACUGCAAGGCUAGAAUCUGGCAGAGGGGGGUAGAAUUCCACGUGUAGCAGUGAAAUGCGUAGAGAUGUGGAGGAACACCGAUGGCGAAGGCAGCCCCCUGGGUCAAGAUUGACGCUCAUGCACGAAAGCGCGGGGAGCAAACAGGAUUAGAUACCCUGGUAGUCCACGCCCUAAACGAUGUCUACUAGUUGUCGGGUUUUAAUUAACUUGGUAACGCAGCUAACGCGUGAAGUAGACCGCCUGGGGAGUACGGUCGCAAGNUUAAAACUCAAAGGAUUGACGGNNGAGAGNGCGAGCGACGACGAGGGAGGAGG
Molecule: ribosomal RNA, 615 nt
Filed under: uncultured bacterium
Lineage: Bacteria
Description: bacterial SSU rRNA
Rfam family: Bacterial small subunit ribosomal RNA
Source: RNAcentral